UCCCCACCCCACCCAGGGGAGCUAAUGAUCGUUGAAAGCUGCUGGGAGAGAGGAAGUCUGUGUAGCCACUGCUAAGUUCCUCACGCUCCGGUGGAUAACCUUCUACCCAAGACCAUAAAGGAAUCAGAUGUGGUAGAAGCAAGAACAUAACUUUUCAAAUUUCCUGCUAAGUUGAUGGGAAAUACCAAUACUGAAAAACCAGCGAACUCCUACUACACCAGUGCACCAAAGGCCGCCAGGGGCUGUUAGCAAAUGCUGACCUGUCAAAAUUUUCAAGAAUGACUUCUAUGCAAGAAAACGCAGAAUGUCUUCAAAUCUUUCACCGUAUAAUAAAGCAAGUAUGGUGGUAGAUUUUCCCCAAUCUGACAUGACAUUGCUAAUGAAUUAUCACAGCAGUUUUAUGAACUAUUAAUAAAAAAGCCAAGCAAUUAAAGGAAA
Molecule: long non-coding RNA, 438 nt
Organism: Peromyscus eremicus (cactus mouse)
Lineage: Eukaryota; Metazoa; Chordata; Mammalia; Rodentia; Cricetidae
Exons: 2
Source: RefSeq, a predicted model, not a curated record